ACCUGGCUUGCUCAGUCAGUAGAGCAUGUGACUCUUAAUCUCAGGGUCGUGAGUUCAAGCCCCAUGCUGGGUG
Molecule: transfer RNA, 73 nt
Organism: Felis catus (domestic cat)
Lineage: Eukaryota; Metazoa; Chordata; Mammalia; Carnivora; Felidae
Rfam family: tRNA
About the family: Transfer RNA (tRNA) molecules are approximately 80 nucleotides in length. Their secondary structure includes four short double-helical elements and three loops (D, anti-codon, and T loops).
Source: Rfam